AAGUCGUAACAAGGUUUCCGUAGGUGAACCUGCGGAAGGAUCAUUAAUGAAUGAUAGUUUUUUGGGGUUUUCCCUGAAAAAUAAUUCACCUUUUGUGCAUUGUUAUUUAGAUAUACUUUGGUUAGUGCUUUGGUUCUAAAAAACAUUUGGAAUCAACUUCUUGCUAACUCUAUCCUUUCCGAGGACAGUUGGCUAUGAAGCGGCCUACCAAGGUUUUUUUUUAUCAAACUCUUGUAUUUUGUCUGACCUAAAAACAAAUAAUUAAAUCAUAACUUUCAACAACGGAUCUCUUGGCUCUC
Molecule: unclassified non-coding RNA, 299 nt
Filed under: fungal sp.
Lineage: Eukaryota; Fungi
Description: partial internal transcribed spacer region
Rfam family: Eukaryotic small subunit ribosomal RNA (bases 1-46)
Source: RNAcentral